Molecule: transfer-messenger RNA, 424 nt
Filed under: Rickettsiales bacterium
Lineage: Bacteria; Pseudomonadati; Pseudomonadota; Alphaproteobacteria; Rickettsiales
Rfam family: Alphaproteobacteria transfer-messenger RNA
About the family: Bacterial tmRNA, also known as 10Sa RNA or SsrA, is named for its dual tRNA and mRNA-like properties. Its role is to liberate the mRNA from a stalled ribosome.
Source: RNAcentral
AAUCUUGAUUCUUCAAAUAUUUCUUCUUAUAUUAUAACUGUCGCAAGACUAUGGUGUUAAACCUUUAUUGGAAUAGGCUUUAUGGACUCGGGGGCGGUACCCGACAGCUCCACCACCAAAUUUUGUUAGUGGCUUUGCCACUUAAAAAAUUUGAGUGCCCUCCGAAGCCUGAAAGGCGAAGGGUGGGCUUACAAAACUCAAACUUGAGGGGCUGAUACAGAUUCGACAUUUGCAAUAAAGAAUAAAACUAUGCCCGACGUGACUUGUCGUAAAACGGUUAAUUAAAAAUAAACGGAAAUUCUAACAAUAGAUUAGCAAUGGCUGCGUAAGUUACGCGAAAUUGCAACCGCUUAUUGCAAAAUCCUUAUUGGUCUGAUCACCGAUAAGUGGGGAUUGGGGGUUCCUAUCAACAGAAACCCUCAUU